Molecule: ribosomal RNA, 292 nt
Filed under: uncultured bacterium
Lineage: Bacteria
Description: partial 16S ribosomal RNA
Rfam family: Bacterial small subunit ribosomal RNA
Source: RNAcentral
GUGUCAGCCGCCGCGGUAAUACGUAGGGUGCGAGCGUUGUCCGGAAUCACUGGGUGUAAAGGGAGCGCAGGCUGGUCAGAAAGUCGUUGGUGAAAUCCGGAGGCUCAACCUCAGGACUGCCAAUGAUACUGCUGAUCUUGAGUACAGAAGAGGAAGACGGAAUUCCUGGUGUAGCGGUGAAAUGCGUAGAUAUCAGGAAGAACACCGGUGGCGAAGGCGGUCUUCUGGUCUGUAACUGACGCUCAUGCUCGAAAGCGUGGGGAGCAAACAGGAUUAGAAACCCCGGUAGUCC